UGAUAGAUUACAAUCUUUUUUUGAUGAGCGCUGUCCUCAUGGAUGACGUUGAUCCAUCUAUAGAGUUUAAAGGUAAACUUAGUUGUCUUAAGGAACAAGUCAAGAUAUCUCAAGUCUUUCACUGUGAGGGUUUAUUGUUAUGCAUCUUGAAAGACGAUACUAGGAUUGUUGUUUGGAAUCCGUAUAGGCAGGAAACAAGGUGGAUCAUACCUAGAUAUUCUCACCGUCCAUACGUAAUGAACAAUAUCAGAUAUGCUCUUGGAUACGAGAAUAAUAAAUCUGGUCGUAGCCUUAAAUUAUUGAGGUUUAUAGAUUAUUGCUACACCGAAAAGCACAUUUGUUGGCAUGAAAUCUACGAUUUUGACUCUGAUUUAUGGACAACUCUUGAUGUCACUCCACAUUGGUAUAUAUUGUCUAAUUGGUCUUGUGUCCAAGGCGUCUCUCUCAAAGGGAACACUUACUGGUGUGCUAGAGAAGAAAACUCAGAUGGUUACAAUCAUAUAAUCUGUUUUGAUUUUACAAGAGAGAGAUUUGGUCCGCUUCUGCCUCUACCGGUUAACGUUAUAGAUAAUGAAUAUGAAUAUGU
RNAcentral lists this small RNA (586 nucleotides) under Arabidopsis thaliana (thale cress). RNAcentral describes it as "ATSL234650". Lineage: Eukaryota; Viridiplantae; Streptophyta; Magnoliopsida; Brassicales; Brassicaceae. The record is from RNAcentral.